This 468-nucleotide ribosomal RNA is filed under the name uncultured bacterium. RNAcentral describes it as "partial 16S ribosomal RNA". It matches the Rfam family "Bacterial small subunit ribosomal RNA", at positions 28 to 507 of the family's 1533-position model. The record is from RNAcentral.
GACGAACGCUGGCGGCGCGCCUAACACAUGCAAGUCGAACGGAGCUGAGAGAAGCUUGCUUUUCUUAGCUUAGUGGCGAACGGGUGAGUAACGCGUGAGUAACCUGCCCUGGAGUGGGGGACAACAGUUGGAAACGACUGCUAAUACCGCAUAAGCCCACGAUCCGGCAUCGGAUUGAGGGAAAAGGAUUUAUUCGCUUCAGGAUGGACUCGCGUCCAAUUAGCUAGUUGGUGAGGUAACGGCCCACCAAGGCGACGAUUGGUAGCCGGACUGAGAGGUUGAACGGCCACAUUGGGACUGAGACACGGCCCAGACUCCUACGGGAGGAAGCAGUGGGGGAUAUUGCACAAUGGGGGAAACCCUGAUGCAGCGACGCCGCGUGGAGGAAGAAGGUUUUCGGAUUGUAAACUCCUGUCGUUAGGGACGAUAAUGACGGUACCUAACAAGAAAGCACCGGCUAACUACGUG